CCUCAGCUCCGUCCCGUCAGCACCGGCCAGCCAACCUGAAAACAUUUGAAAGUAUUUUUGGGCUAAGUACUAAUGUACUUAGUGGGCAUGCAUUUUCUGAAACAUCUCAUAUUUUGUUAAAGACAGUUUAUCCAAUCAUAAUUUACAUAACUUAGAAGGUUUUAAAUUGAAAUAACUUCUAAGCAUGUUAAAACAUUUUCUUUCAUUUGUGCGCACAUGUCACACUCCCUUUCCGUUACUCGCUGUGAUCCCGGACCUUUUAGCCACCGACGGAUCCAUUACUCCCGCUUGCUUGAACUGAGGGCGUAACCCAACCAAGUUCCCAUUUGGGACCCAAUGCUCCGGAACACAUCCCGUCGAGCACCCUUAUAACGCCUCAUACAUGAUUAGUGCCCGAUGGAGAUCAACCCACCAGGUCAGCUAAUAGGUGUACACAAUUCUCAAAUAACGUGUUAGGUCAAGAGAGAACCUCGAUCGAUUCAUUGUUGC
Molecule: long non-coding RNA, 489 nt
Filed under: Salvia miltiorrhiza (redroot sage)
Lineage: Eukaryota; Viridiplantae; Streptophyta; Magnoliopsida; Lamiales; Lamiaceae
Description: long non-coding RNA (SMIL_LNC004562)
Source: RNAcentral